Molecule: RNase P RNA, 364 nt
Filed under: Bifidobacterium primatium
Lineage: Bacteria; Bacillati; Actinomycetota; Actinomycetes; Bifidobacteriales; Bifidobacteriaceae
Description: Bacterial RNase P class A
Rfam family: Bacterial RNase P class A
About the family: Ribonuclease P (RNase P) is a ubiquitous endoribonuclease, found in archaea, bacteria and eukarya as well as chloroplasts and mitochondria. Its best characterised activity is the generation of mature 5'-ends of tRNAs by cleaving the 5'-leader elements of precursor-tRNAs. Cellular RNase Ps are ribonucleoproteins.
Source: Rfam by way of RNAcentral
CGAGACCCCCAGAUGACCGCGGUCCGGCGCAUCCGCGCGGACUGAGGAACUUCCGGGCUCCACAGAGCACGAUGGCGGAUAACGUCCGCCCAGGGCGACCUGAGAGAUAGCGCAACAGAGAACAGACCGCCCGGCCCGGCCGGGUAAGGGUGAAACGGCGGUGUAAGAGACCACCGGACGACCGGUAACGGAAGUCGCAUGGCAAGCCUCAUCGGGAGCAAGGCCAAGCAGAAGGCGUCAAGGGCUGCUCGCCCGUGCCUUCGGGUAGGCUGCUGGAGCCUGACGGCAACGUCAGGUCGAGAUGGAUGGUCAUCCGUAUGGUUCCUCCAUACGACAGAACCCGGGGUACCGGGGGUCUCGUUUC